RNAcentral lists this transfer RNA (76 nucleotides) under Cohnella sp. SGD-V74. Its description in RNAcentral is "tRNA-Pro". It matches the Rfam family "tRNA". Rfam says of the family: Transfer RNA (tRNA) molecules are approximately 80 nucleotides in length. Their secondary structure includes four short double-helical elements and three loops (D, anti-codon, and T loops). RNAcentral also lists the same sequence under 1 other name. Lineage: Bacteria; Bacillati; Bacillota; Bacilli; Caryophanales; Paenibacillaceae. The record is from RNAcentral.
CGGGACGUAGCUCAGCUUGGUUUAGAGCGCUUGCCUUGGAAGCAAGAGGCCGCAGGUUCGAAUCCUGCCGUUCCGA